This 980-nucleotide long non-coding RNA is filed under the name Vulpes vulpes (red fox). RNAcentral describes it as "lncRNA (ENSVVUG00000006533.1)". The record is from RNAcentral. Lineage: Eukaryota; Metazoa; Chordata; Mammalia; Carnivora; Canidae.
GGCACCUCUAAUCUAGCUUCUAUCUCUCUGGAUACAUCAUAUAAACAGCCUCAUGUGAUAUGUGGCUUUUUGUGGCUGGAUUUUCUCACUUAGCAUAAUGUGUUACAGUACUUGUUAAUGUGAAAUUUUCAGUUUUGAUCAUUAUUCUCACCUACGUAGAUUAAUCUGGCCACCAUGCCUGUGAAGAGAUACCAUGGCUGAAUUGCCACCCUGGCGCUGGCUCGGUGGUUGGGAUAAGCUCCUCUGUUCCUCAUCAGGGGAGCUCAGAGAUGUGCCAAGAUCUUAUCCCAGUCCCCGGUGUCUGCUGGCUUUCAUCUAGUAUAGUUCUGCCGGAAUCACACAGAACAUCUCUCCUCUCCACUGACUAAUUGAAAAGCCUGAAUUAUUUUCAGAAAGAGGUUCCAGCUCAUAGGAGAAAAAGGUGUGUUUCAUGGACAGAGCACCCUGUCUGUUUGGAAGCGGCAUUGUUUUCGUUGGCUGUGGUACCAAGCAAGAGAGCCGCCCAGUCCUACAACUGAUUCUCUGAUAAUGUAAACGACAGCCAUAUACCAGAACCUACCCUGUUCAGUUGGACUCGUCUCUGUCCUAUGCCCAAGCCAAGAAACAGAAGAGUCAAUCUUAUCUGCAGGAGACACAAGAACAUUUCAAAAAAAGGGCUUCCUGGUGUUCUCAAUAAAGCAGGCAUGCACGGCUCCUGGAAGAGGGAGAAGAGGCUCAUCUGGAAAGAUCAAAGACAAGGAGGAGAUGCAAAAGCCACCGCCUGAGAAGCAGGCCAAGGGGUAAACCAGAAGCCAAGCAAGGCUAAUUUUGAAAAAACUACAGCAGUGCAAAUUAAAAUACACACGGCAGGAUUAAGGGUAAUUUUCAUUUUAUUAUUCAUGGUUUUCUGAAUUAGCUCGGUUUUUUAAAGUAACGAUUCUUUCAUAAAUAGGAAAACUAAGGGUAAUUAAUAAAGCUACUGCAUUUUAAUUAUAAAAGCA